Molecule: ribosomal RNA, 422 nt
Filed under: uncultured bacterium
Lineage: Bacteria
Description: partial 16S ribosomal RNA
Rfam family: Bacterial small subunit ribosomal RNA
Source: RNAcentral
GAAUUUUGGACAACGGGGGCAACCCUGAUCCAGCCAGCGCGCGUGUGCGAUGAAGGCCUGCGGGUUGUAAAGCACUGUUGGCAGGGAAGAAGAGGGCCUGGCUAGUACCUGGAGGUGCUGACGGUACCUGACGAAUAAGCAACGGCGGACUACGUGCCAGCCGCCGCGGUAAUACGUAGUGUGCAAGCGUUCAUCGGAAUUACUGGGCGUAAAGCGUGCGCAGGCGGUUCGGCAAGAAGGAUGUGAAAUCCCAGGGCUUAACCUUGGAACUGCAUUCUUAACUGCCGGGCUAGAGUAUGUCAGAGGGGGGUAGAAUUCCGCGUGUAGCAGUGAAAUGCGUAGAGAUGCGGAGGAAUACCGAUGGCGAAGGCAGCCCCCUGGGAUAAUACUGACGCUCAUGCACGAAAGCGUGGGGAGCAAAC